CUUUUCGGCGGAAUCUCGGAUGUCUGAACCCUCUAGAAGGGUAAAAUAUGGUUUUCUAAAACAUUUUUACGUGUUUUGUGGUUUUAAUAAAGAAGAAAAUGAGUUUUUGAAAGAAAAAGACCAAGGAAGAAAACCCAGGUUCGGCAGCCGAACAUGGGGAGUUUGCGGAAGCACCUUUGGCCCCCGAAGAUAGUCUGGCCAGCAACCUAUAAAAGGCCCUUUGUCCGAAAAUGGGCGAGUUUUCUCUCUCUAUUUUC
Molecule: long non-coding RNA, 257 nt
Filed under: Manihot esculenta (cassava)
Lineage: Eukaryota; Viridiplantae; Streptophyta; Magnoliopsida; Malpighiales; Euphorbiaceae
Description: long non-coding RNA (MESC_LNC006502)
Source: RNAcentral